AGCCAAAUGGUUUAAUCAGGAACUUUAUAAUUCCAAAAAGCUCCUCAAAUUUUAGCUGCAGUCAAAGCUCUAGGAAAAGGCUAUUUAACCAGAAACUGUCAGUUAUCUGGAGGCUGAGCAGGUCUGAAGCCUAAAUUCUAUGGAUCUGCAGAGCACACAUUCUGUAGAGGUUGUCAUAUCCUCCGUCUGCAGCUAAUUAGCUGGCAACACUUACAAGUUGUACCAGACCACAGCAUGUCUUUGCAAUCAGUCAGCUGCUCAGAAAGACUAAAGGACCCAGGAAUCCAAGAAGCUUUCUGCAUUAAUGAGGAGGAGGAGCAAGCACAAUCAGAAUGUUAUCUGAGUUUUCCUGCUGGCAUGCUCUGCCACAUCACCCCCUCCUGCCACAGACUUCCAGAGAGUUUAAAGGCUCUUCUGCAGCAUAAAUGCAGGGAAAUUAACACCUGUGUAAGGAACAGGGAAACCUGGGACUGGUCAAAAUGACUGCUGACUGCAUAGUAGCUGUUUGCUUACGCCUUUCCUUUUGAAUGCAGAUCUGCAACUUUGAGACAUGGAUAACUUCCAGAAGGGACUGCUAGAAUUAACUGUAAUUGGCGCUGCCCCUGAAGACUAGGCAGCCACUUCAGUAUAAGCAAUUUACUUGGGCAGCCAUCCUGCAAGCAUGCAUUAGGUAGUUUUAAGCACAUGAGUAAAGUUACGCAUGAUCUUAAAUCUUUGUUGUGCUUGGGCUCUAGUGAUGCUUUUCAGGGAGAGUGUAUAAUAUCUGAGCUUCACAGUCUCUACUGACUUCCAAAUAUAAUUCCAAAUGUUG
This 811-nucleotide long non-coding RNA is filed under the name Crocodylus porosus (Australian saltwater crocodile). Its description in RNAcentral is "lncRNA (ENSCPRG00005017178.1)". The record is from RNAcentral. Lineage: Eukaryota; Metazoa; Chordata; Crocodylia; Crocodylidae.